Molecule: unclassified non-coding RNA, 376 nt
Filed under: uncultured Actinomycetes bacterium
Lineage: Bacteria; Bacillati; Actinomycetota; Actinomycetes
Description: uncultured actinobacterium contains 16S-23S intergenic spacer region
Source: RNAcentral
UCCGAGUUGACCCCGGCAGUCUUCUAUGAGUCCCCGGCAUUAUCCGCUGGCAACAUAGAACGAGGGUUGCGCUCGUUGCGGGACUUAACCCAACAUCUCACGACACGAGCUGACGACAACCAUGCACCACCUGUGCAGGGCCCUUGCGGACCCGACGUUUCUGCCGGAUUUCCCUGCAUGUCAAGCCUUGGUAAGGUUCUUCGCGUUGCGUCGAAUUAAGCCACAUGCUCCGCCGCUUGUGCGGGCCCCCGUCAAUUCCUUUGAGUUUUAGCCUUGCGGCCGUACUCCCCAGGCGGGGUGCUUAAUGCGUUAGCUUCGGCACGGACGGAGUCGACACCGCCCACACCUAGCACCCAUCGUUUACGGCGUGGACUAC